AGUCGAACGAUGAACCUCCUUCGGGAGGGGAUUAGUGGCGAACGGGUGAGUAACACGUGGGCAAUCUGCCCUGCACUCUGGGACAAGCCCUGGAAACGGGGUCUAAUACCGGAUACGACCAUCGGGGGCAUCCCCGGUGGUGGAAAGCUCCGGCGGUGCAGGAUGAGCCCGCGGCCUAUCAGCUUGUUGGUGGGGUGACGGCCUACCAAGGCGACGACGGGUAGCCGGCCUGAGAGGGCGACCGGCCACACUGGGACUGAGACACGGCCCAGACUCCUACGGGAGGCAGCAGUGGGGAAUAUUGCACAAUGGGCGAAAGCCUGAUGCAGCGACGCCGCGUGAGGGAUGACGGCCUUCGGGUUGUAAACCUCUUUCAGCAGGGAAGAAGCGAAAGUGACGGUACCUGCAGAAGAAGCGCCGGCUAACUACGUGCCAGCAGCCGCGGUAAUACGUAGGGCGCGAGCGUUGUCCGGAAUUAUUGGGCGUAAAGAGCUCGUAGGCGGCUUGUCGCGUCGGUUGUGAAAGCCCGGGGCUUAACCCCGGGUCUGCAGUCGAUACGGGCAGGCUAGAGUUCGGUAGGGGAGAUCGGAAUUCCUGGUGUAGCGGUGAAAUGCGCAGAUAUCAGGAGGAACACCGGUGGCGAAGGCGGAUCUCUGGGCCGAUACUGACGCUGAGGAGCGAAAGCGUGGGGAGCGAACAGGAUUAGAUACCCUGGUAGUCCACGCCGUAAACGUUGGGCACUAGGUGUGGGCGACAUUCCACGUCGUCCGUGCCGCAGCUAACGCAUUAAGUGCCCCGCCUGGGGA
Molecule: ribosomal RNA, 806 nt
Filed under: Streptomyces sp. CUA-915
Lineage: Bacteria; Bacillati; Actinomycetota; Actinomycetes; Kitasatosporales; Streptomycetaceae
Description: bacterial SSU rRNA
Rfam family: Bacterial small subunit ribosomal RNA
Source: RNAcentral